This 607-nucleotide small RNA is filed under the name Oryza sativa Japonica Group (Japanese rice). Its description in RNAcentral is "sRNA Os08g0192001". Lineage: Eukaryota; Viridiplantae; Streptophyta; Magnoliopsida; Poales; Poaceae. The record is from RNAcentral.
UGAUGGCUCAGGGCCUGAUGUUUGCAUCCUGCGAAACACUGCUUCAGCCUUACGAUACUGCUUGGCUCUUCCAUAUGCUUCCAUCAGUGCAGUCUGAGAUAUCACGCUUGGUUUGUAACCUUUCUUGUUCAUAUACUUCAGGACCCUCUCCGCUCUGCUAAAAUCUCCUAAUUUUCCAUAGGCCGUAACAAGCAUCAAAAAGUCCAUCUCACUGAAGUUCCACCAAUGUUGUGUGCGUAGCCAUUCAAGAAUCUGAAAAAUGAGGCAUAGAAAUUCAAAUAUUUAUGAACUCUUCAAAUCACAUUCUAUUGUAGAUGAAACAAUAGCAGCUAGCUAGUUAGUCAACAGGACGGCUUCAUAUUGGAUAAUAUGCUGCAAGAGAAUAUACCUCGCUGACCAGGUUCCAUUUCUUGAGCUGUUUGAACCGCAUAAGAGUUCCAAGAACAGCAUCCCUUGGCAGUGGUUCUUUCUUGCUUCGCUGAGUCUUCAGAAUGGAGACAGCUGAUCCUGACUCUUCUAUCUCCCUCAUCAUCAUCCUCCAAUUCUUCUGCUCUGCUUCAUCAGCAGCAUCCUUAUAUACCUCCUCUUUCUUCUUCUUCUGCAUGAA